This is a long non-coding RNA of Asterias rubens (European starfish), 489 nucleotides long. RefSeq lists it as uncharacterized. Lineage: Eukaryota; Metazoa; Echinodermata; Asteroidea; Forcipulatida; Asteriidae. The record is from RefSeq and is a predicted model, not a curated record. The transcript is spliced from 3 exons.
UUUAAGGGAAGCUUUCUACCACCAUUAUCUUAAAACUGUGUUGACGUGCAUGUACACAGGCCUACAUACAUCCCAUACAACUUUCACCAUGGACUCGACAAAGAUGAAGACACCACACAUCCUGUGUACAUCGAAAUGGAUGAAAAAUCGACACAUGUGUCUACAGAGUUUAAAGUAGUUGCAGAAGGCGAGGUAGUUUCUGUUGUUGAUGAUGUAACAACAGCAGUCGCGUGCUACAUUUCCUCGUUUUUUGUAUUUCACCUGCAGUACAUCCCAGAACUAGUGAAGACAAUUGCUUUUUAUCAAUAUGGUGUUCUUAAGAUUGACGACCAGACUGGUAUUCAUAGUUCAUAUUCUUUGGAUUCCGUGACCAUUUAUUUGCUACCUUUUUUUUUCGAUGGAUUUGACGUCAGGAACCAUUUAAAAAAAAAAAAGCUCCUAUGAACCUCUGAAAUGUGAUAGGAACUUUUUUUAUUGCGCAAUAUUCAA